RNAcentral lists this ribosomal RNA (346 nucleotides) under uncultured bacterium. Its description in RNAcentral is "partial 16S ribosomal RNA". It matches the Rfam family "Bacterial small subunit ribosomal RNA", at positions 338 to 682 of the family's 1533-position model. The record is from RNAcentral.
CCUACGGGGGGCUGCAGUGAGGAAUAUUGGUCAAUGGACGCAAGUCUGAACCAGCCAUGCCGCGUGCAGGAAGACGGCUCUAUGAGUUGUAAACUGCUGUUGUACGAGGGUAAACGCAGAUACGCGUAUCGGUCUGAAAGUAUCGUACGAAUAAGGAUCGGCUAACUCCGUGCCAGCAGCCGCGGUAAUACGGAGGAUUCAAGCGUAUCCGGAUUUCUGGGGGUUCAAGGGUGCGGAGGCGGGCGGAUAAGGUAGAGGGGAAAUCCCGCGGCUCAACUUCGGAAUUGCCUCUGAUACUGUUCGGCUAGAGCGUAGUUGCGGUAGUCGGCAUGUAUGGUGUAGCGGU